RNAcentral lists this ribosomal RNA (497 nucleotides) under uncultured bacterium. Its description in RNAcentral is "partial 16S ribosomal RNA". It matches the Rfam family "Bacterial small subunit ribosomal RNA", at positions 28 to 507 of the family's 1533-position model. The record is from RNAcentral.
GAUGAACGCUGGCGGCGUGCCUAAUACAUGCAAGUCGAGCGAACGGACGAGAAGCUUGCUUCUCUGAUGUUAGCGGCGGACGGGUGAGUAACACGUGGAUCACCUACCUAUAAGACUGGGAUAACUUCGGGAAACCGGAGCUAAUACCGGAUGAUAUUUUGAACCACAUGGUUCAAUAGUGAAAGACGGUCUUGCUGUCACUUAUCGAUGGAUCCGCGCUGCAUUAGCUAGUUGGUAAGGUAACGGCUUAUCAGGGCAACGAUGCAUAGCCGACCUGAGAGAGUGAUCGGCCACACUGGAACUGAGACACGGUCCUGACUCCUACGGGAGGCAGCAGUAGGGAAUCUUCCGCAAUGGGCGAAAGCCUGACGGAGCAACGCCGCGUGAGUGAUGAAGGUCUUCGGAUCGUAAAACUCUGUUAUUAGGGAAGAACAUAUGUGUAAGUAACUGUGCACAUCUUGACGGUAACUAAUCAGAAAGCCACGGCUAACUACGUG